This 468-nucleotide ribosomal RNA is filed under the name uncultured bacterium. Its description in RNAcentral is "partial 16S ribosomal RNA". It matches the Rfam family "Bacterial small subunit ribosomal RNA", at positions 28 to 507 of the family's 1533-position model. The record is from RNAcentral.
AACGAACGCUGGCGGCAUGCUUAACACAUGCAAGUCGAACGGCAACGCCCUGCUUUUGUGCGGUGCUCGAGUGGCGAACGGGUAAGUAACACGUAAGUAACCUACCCUUCACUUUGGGGGAACUUCAGGAAGCUGGGGCUAAUCCCGGAUAGGAUCUCCCGCUUGAUGGUGGGGGGGGGAAAGUUUCGCCUGUUGGGGUUGGAAUCGCCGUUUAUCGGCUUGUUGGUUGGGUAGUGGCAGACCAAGGCUUUGACCGGUAGCCGGCCGGAGAGGGGGACAGGCCACAUUGCGCCUGGGAUAAGGCCCAGCCUCGAAUGGGAGGCAACGGUGGGGAGUAUUGUACAAUGGGAGGGAGCCGGAUGCAGCAACGCCGCGUGCGGGAAGACGGCCUUCGGGUUGUGAACCGCAGCCGCUUGAGACGAAGCGUGAGUGACGGUAAUGGGUGAAGAAGCACCGGCUAACUACGUG